Molecule: ribosomal RNA, 479 nt
Filed under: uncultured bacterium
Lineage: Bacteria
Description: bacterial SSU rRNA
Rfam family: Bacterial small subunit ribosomal RNA
Source: RNAcentral
UCCUGGCUUAGGAUUAACGCUGGCGGCGUGCCUAAUACAUGCAAGUCGGAUGGUAGCUGCUAACCAUGGCGAACGGGUGAGUAACACGUAGGUAACCUGUCUUAAAGACGAGGAUAACCAUUGGAAACGAUGGAUAAGUACUGGAUAGGAUAUAUAAGGGCAUCCUGAUAUAUUUAAAGAUUUAUCACUUUAUGAGGGGCCUGCGGCGCAUUAGUUAGAUGGCGGUGUAAAGGACCACCAUGACGAUGAUGCGUAGCCGGACUGAGAGGUUGAACGGCCACAAUGGGACUGAGAACGGCCCAUACUCCUACGGGAGGCAGCAGUAGGGAAUUUUCGGCAAUGGACGGAAGUCUGAACCCGAGCAACGCCGCGUGAACGAAGAAGUAUUUCGGUAUGUAAAGUUCUUUUAUUUGGGAAGAAAAGAUAAGAUUGACUGUACCAAAUGAAUAAGCUCCGGCUAACUACGUGCCAGCCGCGGC